GCCGAUGUGGCGGAAUUGGUAGACGCGAUAGAUUCAAAAUCUAUUCUUGGCAACAAGGUGCCGGUUCGAGUCCGGCCAUCGGCA
RNAcentral lists this transfer RNA (84 nucleotides) under Chlamydiota bacterium. Its description in RNAcentral is "Chlamydiae bacterium tRNA-Leu". It matches the Rfam family "tRNA". From Rfam's summary of the family: Transfer RNA (tRNA) molecules are approximately 80 nucleotides in length. Their secondary structure includes four short double-helical elements and three loops (D, anti-codon, and T loops). Lineage: Bacteria; Pseudomonadati; Chlamydiota. RNAcentral also lists the same sequence under 1 other name. The record is from RNAcentral.